CAUCACUUGCAUUAGCAUAUUUAAUUUUCUACAUUAGCAUUAGAAAAGAAAACAAAAAUAUUUGUUCAUUGCACUGCAUCAUAAAAUUGUAAGCCCCAUGUGAUUAUGCUCGUGGCAUAAAAUCCAUAAGUACAUUCACUGUGGUGGCAUAAAAAUAAAUAUAUUUCUGUCCUAUAAAAAUGAAAAUAUAAAAAUAAAUUUAUGAUCCUACCAAAGAGAGUAAUAUUUAUUAGAGGAAGCUCAACAUGAUAAAGGCAAAGAGAUUUUAUGCUAACACUUAACCAGUUCCACAAAGCUUUGUUGUCUAUUUGAGCUCCACAGAAUUUAAGGAUCAAAGAAGACUAGCAGACGGAGGACAACCUAAUCGCUGUCAGGGUGCUACCGACAUUAAAAUACACCUCUGCCACCUGCUAGCUACAUCAGAAGAAAUUACGUCAAAAUCCAGCUUGGGGGAGAGCACCCCCAUUUACCCAGCUAAGUGUUUCUACUCGCGUUUAUACUUUACUCAAAUAAUAAAAAGAUGCAUAAUCAUAAAAAAACCCAAAUAAAGAUUUUUAUACUUUUAUAUAUAUAUAUAUAUAUAUAUAUAUCUUUGCUUAGUUUGCUAAAUAAAUAAAUAAAUAAAGUUUGCUAUGAACCCUCAUGAUAAGCUCUCACAUGGAUAUGAUGAAUAGUUGUUCUGCCAUGACUAGUUCUUAAAAUUGAAUUCUCUCUCAAGUUUAGGCAUGAUUGUUAUGAAUUAAGAUUUGCUCUAAACCUGAACUUGUGGGAAGAGUGCUUGAUCUAAAGUCUAAGUCGUUAACGGAUAUGAUAUGGGAAGGUUGAGCUGUUGUUUAUUUGUUCCUAGAGAUGCUAGAAUUCUAGAGAAUUUUAUCUUUCAAAAUCUUUAAAAUGUUGCAUGAUGAGUUCUUGUAUGAUGAGAGUUUAAAAUCCUACCACAGCCAUAUAUACAUGCUUAUUAGACUAUGAACCAUACAUUUACUUUUUACUGCUUAUGAGCAUUGAGUGUGGUCAAGCUGUGUAGACCCUUGGGAGCUUGUCAUGUGGUUAAAAUCAAGAUUCACUUGCACGUUCACUCAUAAAUGCUGCUUCUACUCCGAAAGUACGCAUCUACAUACAUCCAUUCAUUUCCAUCUCCAGAUUCACAUAAAAUUAUUCUACUCCUAUCCGGGAGAGAAUAGCCAAAAACAUUAUCCUAUCCUUGUUAUUCCCCGUGAAAUAAAUGCUCUUGAUAUUUUGGUUACUACCACUUGCUACAUUAUUCUAGGAGGGUGAGUGCUCUGAAAAAAAAGAGAAAAAAAAUACGAGGAAAUAAAAAGGGGCAAGUGCCCGGAACCUCGAAGGAAAAAAAGAGUGAGACGAGAGGUAAAAAUGGACAAGUGUCCGACAGUAGAAUUAGGGGUACAAGAUACCCACCUGAGAGAAAAGAAAAAAAAGAAAAAGAAAAUAUAGAGCAUCUCAUUCCCCUCAAACUUCAAAGUGCAAGAAAGGUAUGUAUCCCCUCAAAAGAGCAAACGUAGAAUUAGACUUUCACCAUUGUUUUCAUCAUUAUCACCAUUAUCACCGUACACCAUUCAUUCACCACACAUGCACAUCUUGAUUUGACUUAUUGACUUGUUUCAUGGAUCUAUGGUUUGACUAUGCAAUAAAUGUCUUGUAAGUAUGUAUCAGCUGUCUCCCACCUAUGAGCUCCAGAUAUCAAAACCUUAUUAGAGUAGGGUGAGAGAGAAGGCAAUGUCACUAUGCCUUAUACCAAAAAUACCACAUACCUUGAGAGAAGGCAUAUAUCAUCACUGCCUUGGUAAGGAUCCAGAAAUACCACAAAAGAGAGAAUUGAGAGAGUCAUACAAGGAAUCUCUGAGUUUUAUUUGAAAAUCUACAAAAAACUCCAGAGCUAUAGUUGAUCAAAGAACAAGAGACAUGGUGCUUGACUUGAACGUUCUAUCUUUUAACUGCUCAAGACACAAGUGACGGUUGCAAGCCCCAUGGUGGAAGGUAAUAUGAGUAAGUUUAAGUCUUAACAAUUUACCUUAACCUAGAGAUGAGAUCUUGUUUGAACGCAUGUGUACCUUUAAGGCAUAAAAUCACUGCAGAAACUCUUGAGUCCAUCCUUGCUCAGGGACGAGCAAGAGGUAAGCUUGGGGGAGUUGUUGACGGUCCUUAAGUACCAAAUAUAAUCAUCAAAUAAAUAAAGAAAAGGAUCCAAAUACAACCAACACCCAGACUUAGGGUUUUAUCUGACAGAAUUCCACAAGUUUUGGUGUUUCUCUAUUUCUGCACGGGGUUAUCAGGAAAUAUGGAGAGAAGGCCCACACGUCAGGUUUACAUAGAGAUAUUAACGUGCCGCGCAAUUUUCUAUCAUCUAGAAGACUCUAGAAGCAACGGGAACGAACGGGAGGCCGAGCGGGCUCGGGGGCAGGGCGCCCGCCCUCCCCCCCUUGGGCGCCCGCCCAGCUACAGAGUUGGAUCAGGACUCUCUUUUGGGAUGAUGUUCCACCGACCUAAAGGAUCAAGGAUAACCGUUCAAUCAAUGUCGGUUUGAUCCAACGGCCCAGGUUCACUUGAGGGGACUAUAAAACCAGACCCCCUGGCCCCUGGAGGAGGCACCCCUUGAUCAUUAUUUAUUAUUCAUAGACAGAGAAAAAGCUAGGGUUUAGAGAUGAGAGCUCUCCUCUCUUCUCUAAACUAGAGUAGAUCUAGAUAGUAGCAAGAUGGAGAGCGAAGGAGGAUUAGAGGAGAGGCCGGCCUAUCGGUUCUUCCUCCGGUUGUACUUCGUCAUGAUCAAGCUCUAAUCAAGCUUGCUUAUGGGAUGACUCUGGUAAUCUACUUCUAAUUCAUUAUGCAAUUACUAAUCAUGUAUGUUCUGGUUCACAACUCUUUUGAGUACUUCUAAUCUAUAGGACCCUAUAGGUUAGAGUUGUAGUAUAGGUGUAAGCGUGGUGCUUAGACCUAGAUUACUUGUGGAUAUCCCCUGUCUAGCUGGAUCGUGUGGUAGGCCGCGUAGGUGACAGUUACGUUGGUCCUCUGUAGUCCACCUCUCGUUAGCAGGACGGGUAGGGUUUAUCGGCCUAUGGAUAAGCAUCCUUUGUGGUGUAAUCUUAUCACGUGGUUCGUCCUAGACAUAGACAUACCCCUUUGAAGUAGAGAAACCAUAGUUACCCUCUCUAUUCUCCAACCAUCGCCCAUAUACUAGAAUUGCUCUACUCUCUAUUCCCAUAUUAUCACUCACUUUUAUCUUACCUUUAAUAUUGUUCUUAUUCAAUUCUAUCAUCUUUCCUAUUUACACCUAUUUACUUAUCUAGGUUGAGUUAGAGCGUAGAUCAGUUCUCCCGUUUCCCUGUGGAUACGAUAAAACCUUUAACCGGGUAAAAGCUUCAACGGUAUCCGUGCGCUUGCGGAUUAUCUGUGUGC
Molecule: long non-coding RNA, 3411 nt
Filed under: Sorghum bicolor (sorghum)
Lineage: Eukaryota; Viridiplantae; Streptophyta; Magnoliopsida; Poales; Poaceae
Description: long non-coding RNA (SBIC_LNC012637)
Source: RNAcentral